This 329-nucleotide unclassified non-coding RNA is filed under the name Hevea brasiliensis (rubber tree). Lineage: Eukaryota; Viridiplantae; Streptophyta; Magnoliopsida; Malpighiales; Euphorbiaceae. The record is from RNAcentral.
GCCAAUUUUUGGAGUUUUGGGGUUGUGCUCCUUGUUUCUAUCUUAAUCAUAUGAGAUUGUAAAGCUUAUUGGUUUCUGUGGAGCUUUUUUUGUUGUGGUAUGUGCAUGAUCUUUCUAGUUCUAUUAUUAAAAUUGUUGUGUAAUGUCAAGAAUGAUGAAAAACAAGUGGUGAAUUCCUCUGUGAGCUCAACCAUCGAGGCUUAUUGAUAUUCUGACUUGCCUUAUGUAGUACUUUCUAUUUGUUUUAAGACAAAAUUUCAGCUUUUGAAACUUGUAGUCCUAAUUAUGUAUUUGUGUGUUUGAAUAAUUUGUCACAGUUGAAAAUGAAA